UGGGGAAUAUUGCACAAUGGGCGCAAGCCUGAUGCAGCCAUGCCGCGUGUGUGAAGAAGGCCUUCGGGUUGUAAAGCACUUUCAGCGGGGAGGAAGGCGAUAAGGUUAAUAACCUCAUCGAUUGACGUUACCCGCAGAAGAAGCACCGGCGAACUCCGUGGCAGCAGCCGCGGUAAUACGGAGGGUGCAAGCGUUAAUCGGAAUUACUGGGCGUAAAGCGACCGCAGGCGGUUUGUUAAGUCAGAUGUGAAAUCCCCGGGCUCAACCUGGGAACUGCAUCUGAUACUGGCAAGCUUGAGUCUCGUAGAGGGGGGUAGAAUUCCAGGUGUAGCGGUGAAAUGCGUAGAGAUCUGGAGGAAUACCGGUGGCGAAGGCGGCCCCCUGGACGAAGACUGACGCUCAGGUGCGAAAGCGUGGGGAGCAAACAGG
Molecule: ribosomal RNA, 429 nt
Filed under: Chloroflexota bacterium
Lineage: Bacteria; Bacillati; Chloroflexota
Description: Chloroflexi bacterium partial 16S ribosomal RNA
Rfam family: Bacterial small subunit ribosomal RNA
Source: RNAcentral